RNAcentral lists this ribosomal RNA (253 nucleotides) under uncultured bacterium. Its description in RNAcentral is "partial 16S ribosomal RNA". It matches the Rfam family "Bacterial small subunit ribosomal RNA", at positions 524 to 776 of the family's 1533-position model. The record is from RNAcentral.
UACAGAGGGUGCAAGCGUUAAUCGGAAUUAUUGGGCGUAAAGAGCUCGUAGGCGGUUUGUUGCGUCGGCUGUGAAAUCCCGAGGCUCAACCUCGGGUCUGCAGUCGAUACGAGCAAACUAGAGUGUUGCAGGGGAGACUGGAAUUCCUGGUGUAGCGGUGAAAUGCGCAGAUAUCAGGAGGAACACCGGUGGCGAAGGCGGGUCUCUGGGCAACAACUGACGCUGAGGAGCGAAAGCGUGGGGAGCGAACAGG